AUGGUCUUUGAAUCAAGCGAUCAUGCUCGCAAGAAUCAGUACAGCGGCACUGUAGCAAGCCUGGGGCCCGGGGCGUCUCGCUGGGCUGGCUCCGCCCCUGGUAGCAUGUAUGUAAGAGCUUGCUGCACCCUGUGCCAGCUCACCCGAGUUCGAGUCCUGGCUCAGAUGCGCGGUGCUCGUGGAGUUUCUCUUAUAAAAAUGCCAACGAGGGUUAGCCUUUCGGUUAGCACAAUGGCCGGCUGGAGGAAGGCGUGGCUGUCCGUGCUGGACCGGAACGGCGGCGGCGGCGGGGGCAGCAGCGGCUCCCUCCCGGCGCACCUCAACGGCCUCCUCUCCUCGUCCUCCUCCUCCUCCUCCUCCUCCUCCUCCCUCGCCACCGCCCACAACGUACUCGCCUACCUCCCCGUCCACUACCCCGUGACCAGGCUGCCCCAUCCACCCAAGCCGGAUGCAAUUCAAAAUUCAACGCAGCUGCAGCUGCAUCGACCGGCGGAACCACGUCCUCCCCAUCGCCGCGCCUGGAUCUCAAGAUUUCUUCAUGAUUCACCAAUGAAUCUCGAGGAAGGGGAGGAGGACGACGAGUGUGGGGGCAGAGGGACAUAUGGCGUUACCGAUUCUCCUUCCUCAAGUUCUGCAUCUCAAGUUCAUGUCCCGGAUAUUGACAACACCGACAGUCACAGAGAACCCCCAUCUGAAUCGCAGCGCACUCCAACUCCGUGGCCUCAAAGAAUUUUUGUUAUUGAGGAGUUGUCGGUUGAUGUUACAAGACCUCCCGUUAUGAUCAGCGAUCAUAAACAUAGUCUGACUCGGCAAGAUACCCGACCACCGCGCCUCAUUAUUGGGAAGGAAAAGUGCUUUGGAGAAGGCCAUGAGAAAUUACGCAGAUCGGGCAAAGCCUACAAUCUCUCGUGCGGUGUCCGUGGACAGCUUUUGUUCAUUACCCUUGAAGUGCGUCCCAGGUCGGAGAUCGCCAGAGGAGGAAGACGGCGGCGAGUGUUCCUACACGUCGCUUCUUCGUCCUCAAGCCAAGAUGGAGAGAAAUCUGCUAGUGACGCAGAAUCUGAAGUUCCGGAGGCCACGCCAGACUUCUGGCCUUCCAACUCCGUGGUUCGGAAGGAAACCUAUUGGUGGCUGAUGGUUGUAGGGUGGCUUGGGUUACAAGAUGAGGUCGCAACUGAACUGCAUGACCAAGAUAUGCCUGUCAUACCAGGAGCAACUAUUCUAUCAAGCUCAAUGAAUGUAGUACCACGCAAGAGGGGUCGAAGUAGGCCAAUGAACGCAAGAGCAAAGCUAGGUUAUGAGAAUGUCAGCAAGGGAAGAUCAAAGUUUUGUUCUAUUUGCAGAGGGUCAAUGCACUUUGAACCAAUGUGUCUGGUACAUCACCAUAUGUACCCCGAAUAUGGAUCUCUUGCACUUGACCAUGAAGAGCUUUAA
RNAcentral lists this ribosomal RNA (1434 nucleotides) under Triticum aestivum (bread wheat). RNAcentral describes it as "partial small subunit ribosomal RNA". Lineage: Eukaryota; Viridiplantae; Streptophyta; Magnoliopsida; Poales; Poaceae. The record is from RNAcentral.